This is an RNA transcript of Solanum lycopersicum (tomato), 1391 nucleotides long. It is a transcript of the gene named enoyl-CoA hydratase 2, peroxisomal, with no coding region annotated. The record is from RefSeq and is a predicted model, not a curated record. NCBI's taxonomy places the organism in Eukaryota, Viridiplantae, Streptophyta, Magnoliopsida, Solanales, Solanaceae.
CCAAUUAAAUAAAUUUUAUAACUUUAUAUGAAAUUAAACUGGUGAUAUUAAUGAUCUGAUUCAAUUGAAAAGUCAAAUCUUGAUAUUACUUGUGCUAGAAAUCUGACAUAACUCUGCGCAUUAUCUAUCAACCUCGAUCCUAGUUCCAAAUCCAUAACCAAUUUGUUGUUGUGCUAAAAAAAAAAAAAUUGUUGAAAAUUGGGGAUUUUUUUUUUCUCAUAAGAUUUAAUGGCAGGGUCUGGAAAUUCUGGAAUUAAUCCUGAAUUAGUCAUUUCCCACAAAUUCCCUGAGAGCUUACAUACUUACACUGAAAGGGAUGCUGCUAUUUAUGCUCUUGGUGUAGGAGCAUGUACAAAGGAUGCUAUUGAUGAUAAAGAACUUAAAUAUGUUUAUCAUCAAGAUGGGCAAGAAUUUAUUCAGGUUUUGCCAACUUUUUCGACUUUGUUCACUGUUGGAAUUCCUUCUCAAAUGGAGCGGCUUCCAGGCUUGCAAUUUGAUCCACGUCUUCUACUGCACGGCCAACAAUACAUUGAAGUCUAUAAGCCACUUCCUUCCCAUGGCUGCAUACUAAAUAAAAGGAGUAUUGUCGGAUUGCAUGAUAAAGGUAAAGCAGCUGUUCUUGAAGUAGAAAUUGUGAGUUACGAGAAAGAAUCUGGUGAACGGCUAUGCAUGAACCGCUUGUCUAUUUACUUGAGGGGUGCUGGUGGGUUCUCAAAGUCAUCUCAGCCUUACUCGUACUCAACCAACCGUAAUAAUCAGUCUGCCUUUCCUAAAAUUCCCAAAAGCCAACCCUUUGCUGUAUAUGAAGAAUGUACACAUGCAUCACAGGCUUUGCUAUAUCGGCUAUCUGGUGAUUACAAUCCAUUGCAUUCAGAUCCAAAGUUCGCAGAAGGUUUUCUCGUCCAAUACUGCAUGGGUUGUGCACACUUGGAUUUGCAGUUAGGACUAUUAUUAAGUGUAUUUGUGGAGGUGAUCAGAACACGAUAAAGAGCGUAUCUGGCAGAUUUCUACUACAUGUCUAUCCAGGAGAAACUUUAAUCACAGAAAUGUGGUUGGAAGGGUUGAGAGUUAUCUAUCAAGUGAAGGUUAAGGAACGUAACCGUGCAGUUCUUUUUGGAUUCGUGGAUCUUAAUCAUUUAAGUUCAUCUCUGUGAGUGUUUGUGGCGCGCUCAUAAACGAAAUAAUGCUUUGUAUAAUACUCUUUUAAUUCAUACUUUAAGGUAAUUUAUAGACUCUGGAUCAUAUUAAGUUUCAUUUCUGAGUUCUCAUGGUACAUUACUAUGGAGAGAGAACUUCAUUAUGCAGUAAUCUAAACUACCAUUGUUUAAAUUUUACAAUACCUAUAUGACAGUGUAAUAUCUUUAGCCUUCAAUAUCAUGUGCAGAGUGUGA